Lutra lutra (Eurasian river otter) is the source of this 815-nucleotide long non-coding RNA. RefSeq lists it as uncharacterized. The transcript is spliced from 3 exons. The record is from RefSeq and is a predicted model, not a curated record. NCBI's taxonomy places the organism in Eukaryota, Metazoa, Chordata, Mammalia, Carnivora, Mustelidae.
CGUGGGCUCCCAGCGUGGGCUCCCAGCGUGGGCUCCCAGCGUGGGGUCGUGUCUUCUGUCCCACACAAAGAAUUCUCCGAGACCCUAAAAGCUUGAAAACAGGGUCGGGUGUCUUUUUUGGCCCCGAAGAUGUCCGUGAAGGUUGGUUGUGUCGCCCCUGCGCCGUGGAACACCUGCGGGGGGGGGGGGGGGCAUCUGUCACCCACCAGGUAGCUCGGCGGCCGCGGGCAUCGAAGGUACCUACAAGGGCCAAAGCCAGCGGACGACCUGGAGAGCAAAGAAACACAAGUAUUUCUAAGCAGAGUGAUUGUCCUCAGAAGAUAGUGGCUCCCCGUCUGCCCGAUGACCGGAUAGCAGCAAAAGGAAGUCAAGCGCUGAGUUUCCUUCAUGCCGAGGAUGACCAACUUGUGCUAGCUCGCCCGUGACUCUCCCAGCUCUGAGGCUGAAAGUCCUGCGUCCUGGGAACCCGCUCAGUCCUGGCAAACCGGGAUGGUUGGUCACCCUGUUUUUGCCUCUGACGAGGGGUGCACAGUCCCCAGGGAAUGGGGCUUCCUCAAGAGGCUCACUGAGAAGAAUUUCCUCCGGGGCCUUACAGGCUGCGUGCCAGUAUUUGCCAAAUGAAGCAAGAGGCUCCCACCAGCGUGGCAGGUGACAGAGCCUAGCUGGGCUGCACCAAGAAAGAGCAUCUUGACAGCAGCACCUCCCCCCACUCCCUCAGGCCUACUGGGGUCUGCGUGGCGCAUUGGUGGGAGCCACGCGUGGCAUCCCAUGGACCUUUUUCUGGAGAGUGUGCAAAGUUCAUGACAUCCCUUCCC